GACGAACGCUGGCGGCGUGCUUAACACAUGCAAGUCGAACGGUGAAAGCGGAGCUUGCUCCGCUGGAUCAGUGGCGAACGGGUGAGUAACACGUGGGCAACCUGCCCCUCACUUCGGGAUAACUCCGGGAAACCGGGGCUAAUACCGGAUAUGACCUCCUUGGGCAUCCUUGGAGGUGGAAAGUUUUUCGGUGAGGGAUGGGCCCGCGGCCUAUCAGCUUGUUGGUGAGGUAGUGGCUCACCAAGGCGACGACGGGUAGCCGGCCUGAGAGGGCGACCAGCCACACUGGAACUGAGACACUGUCCAGACUCCUACGGGAGGCAGCAGUGGGGAAUUUUGGACAAUGGGGGCAACCCUGAUCCAGCAAUGCCGCGUGAGUGAAGAAGGCCUUCGGGUUGUAAAGCUCUUUUGUCAGGGAAGAAACGGUGGGAGCGAAUAACUUCUACUAAUGACGGUACCUGAAGAAUAAGCACCGGCUAAC
Molecule: ribosomal RNA, 481 nt
Filed under: uncultured bacterium
Lineage: Bacteria
Description: partial 16S ribosomal RNA
Rfam family: Bacterial small subunit ribosomal RNA
Source: RNAcentral